RNAcentral lists this ribosomal RNA (496 nucleotides) under uncultured bacterium. RNAcentral's name for it is "partial 16S ribosomal RNA". It matches the Rfam family "Bacterial small subunit ribosomal RNA", at positions 28 to 507 of the family's 1533-position model. The record is from RNAcentral.
GACGAACGCUGGCGGCGUGCCUAAUACAUGCAAGUUGAGCGCUGAAGGUUGGUACUUGUACCAACUGGAUGAGCAGCGAACGGGUGAGUAACGCGUGGGGAAUCUGCCUUUGAGCGGGGGACAACAUUUGGAAACGAAUGCUAAUACCGCAUAAAAACUUUAAACACAAGUUUUAAGUUUGAAAGAUGCAAUUGCAUCACUCAAAGAUGAUCCCGCGUUGUAUUAGCUAGUUGGUGAGGUAAAGGCUCACCAAGGCGAUGAUACAUAGCCGACCUGAGAGGGUGAUCGGCCACAUUGGACUGAGACACGGCCCAAACUCCUACGGGAGGCAGCAGUAGGGAAUCUUCGGCAAUGGACGAAAGUCUGACCGAGCAACGCCGCGUGAGUGAAGAAGGUUUUCGGAUCGUAAAACUCUGUUGGUAGAGAAGAACGUUGGUGAGAGUGGAAAGCUCAUCAAGUGACGGUAACUACCCAGAAAGGGACGGCUAACUACGUG